AUUGAACGCUGGCGGCAGGCCUAACACAUGCAAGUCGAGCGGAUGAAGGGAGCUUGCUCCUGGAUUCAGCGGCGGACGGGUGAGUAAUGCCUAGGAAUCUGCCUGGUAUUGGGGGAUAACGUCCUGAAACGGGCGCUAAUACCGCAUACGGCCUGAGUGAGAAAGUGGGGGAUCUUCGGACCUCACGCUAUCAGAUGAGCCUAGGUCGGAUUGGCUAGUUGGUGGGGUAAAGGCCUACCAAGGCGACGGUCCGUAACUGGUCUGAGAGGAUGAUCAGUCCCACUGGAACUGAGACACGGUCCAGAAUACUACGGGAGGCAGCAGUGGGGAAUAUUGGAAAAUGGGCGAAAGCCUGAUCCAGCCAUGCCGGGUGUGUGAAGAAAGUCUUCGGAUUGUAAAGCACUUUAAGGUGGGAGGAAGGGCAGUAAGUUAAUACCUUGCUGUUUUGACGUUACCAACAGAAUAAGCACCGGCUAACUUCGUG
Molecule: ribosomal RNA, 484 nt
Filed under: uncultured bacterium
Lineage: Bacteria
Description: partial 16S ribosomal RNA
Rfam family: Bacterial small subunit ribosomal RNA
Source: RNAcentral